GAUGAACGCUGGCGGCGUGCCUAAUACAUGCAAGUCGAGCGAACGGUCCAGAAGCUUGCUCCUCUGAUUUUAUCGGCGGUCGGGUGAGUAACUCGUGGAUAACCUACCUAUAAGACUGGGAUAACUUCGGGAAACCGUAUCUAAUACCGGAUAAUAUUUUGAACCUCAUUGUUCAAAAGUUAAAGACGCUCUUUCUUUCACUUAUAGAUUGCUCCGCCCUGAAUUAGUUAGUUGGUUAGGUAACGGCUUACCAAGGCAACGAUGCAUACCCGACCUGAGAGGGUGAUCGGACACACGGGAACUGAGAAAGGGUACAGACACCGACGGGAGGAAGCAGUAGGGAAUCUUACGGGAGGGGCGAAAGGCUGACGGAGCAAAGCCGCGUGAGGGAUGAAGGUCUAAGGAUCGUAAAACUAUGUUAUUAGGAAAGAACAAAAGUGUAAGUAACUGUGAAGAUAAUGACGGUACCGAAUCAGAAAGCCACGGCUAACUACGUG
RNAcentral lists this ribosomal RNA (497 nucleotides) under uncultured bacterium. Its description in RNAcentral is "partial 16S ribosomal RNA". It matches the Rfam family "Bacterial small subunit ribosomal RNA", at positions 28 to 507 of the family's 1533-position model. The record is from RNAcentral.